This 504-nucleotide ribosomal RNA is filed under the name uncultured bacterium. RNAcentral describes it as "partial 16S ribosomal RNA". It matches the Rfam family "Bacterial small subunit ribosomal RNA", at positions 30 to 523 of the family's 1533-position model. The record is from RNAcentral.
AUUGAACGCUGGCGGCAGGCCUAACACAUGCAAGUCGAACGGUAGCACAGAGAGCUUGCUCUCGGGUGACGAGUGGCGGACGGGUGAGUAAUGUCUGGGAAACUGCCCGAUGGAGGGGGAUAACUACUGGAAACGGUAGCUAAUACCGCAUAACGUCUUCGGACCAAAGUGGGGGACCUUCGGGCCUCACACCAUCGGAUGUGCCCAGAUGGGAUUAGCUAGUAGGUGGGGUAAUGGCUCACCUAGGCGACGAUCCCUAGCUGGUCUGAGAGGGUGACCAGCCACACUGGAACUGAGACACGGUCCAGAUUCCUACGGGGGGCAGCAGUGGGGAAUAUUGCACAAUGGGCGCAAGCCUGAUGCAGCCAUGCCGCGUGUAUGAAGAAGGCCUUCGGGUUGUAAAGUACUUUCAGCGGGGAGGAAGGCGAUGUGGUUAAUAACCGCAUCGAUUGACGUUACCCGCAGAAGAAGCACCGGCUAACUCCGUGCCAGCCGCCGCCGUAA